This 520-nucleotide ribosomal RNA is filed under the name uncultured bacterium. RNAcentral describes it as "bacterial SSU rRNA". It matches the Rfam family "Bacterial small subunit ribosomal RNA", at positions 120 to 674 of the family's 1533-position model. The record is from RNAcentral.
GGGAAUCUACCGUGCCCUGCGGAAUAGCUCCGGGAAACUGGAAUUAAUACCGCAUACGCCCUACGGGGGAAAGAUUUAUCGGGGUAUGAUGAGCCCGCGUUGGAUUAGCUAGUUGGUGGGGUAAAGGCCUACCAAGGCGACGAUCCAUAGCUGGUCUGAGAGGAUGAUCAGCCACAUUGGGACUGAGACACGGCCCAAACUCCUACGGGAGGCAGCAGUGGGGAAUAUUGGACAAUGGGCGCAAGCCUGAUCCAGCCAUGCCGCGUGAGUGAUGAAGGCCUUAGGGUUGUAAAGCCCUUUCACCGGUGAAGAUAAUGACGGUAACCGGAGAAGAAGCCCCGGCUAACUUCGUGCCAGCAGCCGCGGUAAUACGAAGGGGGCUAGCGUUGUUCGGAAUUACUGGGCGUAAAGCGCACGUAGGCGGAUAUUUAAGUCAGGGGUGAAAUCCCAGAGCUCAACUCUGGAACUGCCUUUGAUACUGGGUAUCUUGAGUAUGGAAGAGGUAAGUGGAAUUGCGAGU